Molecule: long non-coding RNA, 222 nt
Filed under: Capsicum annuum
Lineage: Eukaryota; Viridiplantae; Streptophyta; Magnoliopsida; Solanales; Solanaceae
Description: long non-coding RNA (CANN_LNC003534)
Source: RNAcentral
AAAGCUUGAAAUUACAAGAGAAAACUGCUAAAAGUAGAACGCCAUCACUUUGUUUAAAUUGAACAAUUAGUGUAGAUAUUACUAUUCGUUACCACCAGCAUGGAUUUUUUGCCAACUUAAAUUAUUCCCUUUCAAAGAAUAAGUGAUGAGUGGUGGUACCAUCUUUAUUUUUCUCACUCCAGAUUUUAAAUACCAUAGGAUUCGAGGAGAAAUCAUUUGGAA